Long non-coding RNA from Cuculus canorus (common cuckoo), 6397 nucleotides. RefSeq lists it as uncharacterized. NCBI's taxonomy places the organism in Eukaryota, Metazoa, Chordata, Aves, Cuculiformes, Cuculidae. The transcript has 3 exons. The record is from RefSeq and is a predicted model, not a curated record.
UAUUUUUUUUUUCCCAGUUGUAUGAGUAAGGUGGAAAGCUGGAGAGUCAAAGGACAUCCUUUCUCUCUAUUUACAGCAUCAUUUAAACAAUCAACAAAGUCUUGCCAUCUCUCUGCAUUGCUGAGAUUCACAAACUAGAUAUGCCCUGCCUAUUGUGCUUCCAGGACCCACUCUGGGAAAUAUUCCCAGGAAAGCCCUCCCAGGUCAGUCCUUACGCAAAACUGAAAAUGAAAUCAUGUCCCUGCUUUUCAAUGAGAGCACUUGUUCUCAGUCAGGCUUAGAAUGUGGAACCUCUGGGUUUAAGUUUCUCUUUUAUGUGAUUUGGAAUAUGAGUUUGAAGCCAGAUUAUUUAUGUUUCAAGAAACGACCCUGGUAAACAGGAUGUUGAGCUCUCAGAAUUGUUGUUCGGCUUGGUAGGAAGAGCACAGUACUCAUUGUAUCAUAGACAGAGUAGGAGUUUAAUUUAAUGUAGCAUUUGGGAUGUGCGUAGGAGAGCCCCUUUGUGGAUUUAUUGGCUCUGUUGCAGCAUCACAAAAGUAAAAUUGGUUUAAAUCAGGAUACUGUAUGUAGCUAGCCUGUCUUUCAUUGCAGUAACAAAAGCCAUUAAAGAAUAUGGAUAGAAGUAAUACUUGAACUGUGUUUUGAAAUGCUUUCAUGUUCCUUUAGAACAUUAUUUCUCUUCAGGUGAAGACCUGAGUCUGUCUAAUCUUCAUGAAUCACUUCAGACAAAAAUGCUGGUAGGUAGAUAGGUAAAGUGAAUAAAAUUGAAAGUGACUUUCUGAGUCAUUCAGUGCAGGUACUUAAGUCACAAUCCUUUAAACUGGUUAAGCUGCGUGCUAAAAGUAGCUUGGUUUCUUGCCCUUCUGAUCCUGUUUCACCAUUGAGCUAUUGUGAUGGUUAGAAAUUCUCUAAAUCUACCCCAAGUGUUUUCAUGACUGUGAAAGCAUGAAAUAAUAUUCGCAGCCUGUGUCAACAAUUAUCUUUAAAGUCAUCAGUGCUUUCUCAUAGGCUUCAUUUAAUGAAACUGAAUAUGCCGCUGUCUUUUAGUUUUCUCAGAGCAUGUUAAGAGAAAUGCAGAACCAGCUAAUGCUCCUUCUUCAUUAGGAGUAACUAGUACCGUAAAUAGCAUCCCAGAUGAAACCUCUGUUACACUAUGGCAAUAAUCCUGCCCUUUUCCCAAAAGCCACCUUUGCCUUCCCUCACAACUGCAUAACUUUCACAGAUGAUAGUCUCUCCUUGAACAGUACACUCAGGUCUUUCUCUGCCUCUCUCGUCUUCCAGCAGUGGGUUCUACCUUUGGCAGAUUUUUAUAUUUUUUUGCAUAGUAGUAAGAACACAUGACUUGACAUUUCAUAACACUGCUCACAUAAAUCAACGUUCUUAAUAUUGCUACAGUCCUCAAGGUUAUUCAGUUCUUGCUAUAUUUAUUCUGAUUUUGUCUUAGCGGUGCCUGCAGAUUUAGUUUCAUUAGAAAUUUCAUUAACACAUAAAUGCUAAGGAAUACUAAUGCCAAGAAGGAUGAGCUUUGCUUAUAAUCAUUCUCUGUACUGGCUAUGAUCUAUUCUUUAGCGCAAUACAAUUUCCUAUGCGUUUUUUAUAGAUCUUUACUAAUUGUCUGCUCAUAGAUAGUCCUAUAUCAAAUUUAAUAAAGUCCAGCUUAGAUAUACUUCGUUUAAAUGAAGAGUUAUUGUCUAACCAGAUCCUUUGAGUUCAGUUAUGAUAGAAUUUUAUCCUGUUUCCAUAUGUGUUAACGUCUAUAAUGUCCCUCCAUUCUUUCUAUGCUUCCUUGUUCCUUUCCCCGACUCAUCCUGUUAUUGAUGCCAGAGUUGAUUGGCUCCUUCUUAGCUGCCUGAGUUAGAUUUCACGCGUCAUUGUGUUCACUGAAAUUUGUGGCCAAUAUCAAGUUUUUGUUAAUCUAGUUUUGCCUAAAUAUAGAUUCAUUUGCAAAUCAGAAGUUACAGUGGAAAAGGGUUGUAUGUAUGUAUGUAUGUAUGUAUGUAUUAGUGCGAUUAGAUGCUGAAAGUGUGAGAGAGGACUAUUCCCUGUUAGCUCAGAGAUUAUCACCUUUGGGACCCAAAAUCCUAUUUUUUUCAGUAUAGCUAGUUACAUGUCUUUUACUUUUUGCUUUGCUCAUCCUUUAAAGGCAGAAAUGUGUUGAAUGGUUUUACUAUGAUGCUUCUGAAUCUAUAGGCCAUCUUUUCCAAAGAUGUAUAAUCUGAGCUAUUCUAUUUCUCAACUUGCGGGCAACGGUGAGCUUUUACCUGUUCGGUUGAAUAUUGACUUGACUCAGUGAAAUACCUCUCCUUUUCUGCUCUGUAUCUCUGCCACUGCUGUACGAACUGCUGAGUUUCUGGUGACGCUCUAGAUUAAUUCUUGUUUCUCUGCUGUUUCCUGCCUCUCUGGAGUUGUUACUGUUGAAAGGAAUUUAUCGGCUAAUCAACCAUAAGACUGGUGGGAACUCAGAGGCAAAAAGUAAUAUGACAGAGUUUGAAGAAUACUCUGUAUUCAUAUAAAGAAAUAAAACAUCAUAUUACACAUCCUCUAGCAUAACAGAUAGAAAUUAUUGUGAUUCUUUUGAAUAUUUCAUAGUGUAAUCAUUCAAGAUUCAUCUGAUGCAUUUGGACCUUUGUCCUUCUCACUGAUGUGGUGCCAUAUAGAGAUAAAAAUUCAUUUCAGUUCCUCCUUAUCUCAUUUCAUAAUGUGUUUGGUUUAGCUGUAUUGCUGUUAUACUGAAGUAUAAUACAGAAACUGCCUGCUGUGGAACAGUGAUUUUUUUUUUUUUUUGUUAUUUUUUUUUUUCCAUUUUUUUGUCUCUGUGGAACAAACAAGAACACGCGGAGCUUCUCCUUGGAAGCAUAUUCUCAGAAACAUUUUCUGUGGUGUAUUAAAGAUGUGGCGUUAAAAAAAGUACAUUAAAGCCCUGCUGUCUGAAACCUUAGCAAACGGGGAGCUUGCCACUCCGAUGUACUGUCCAGGGAAAAAGAACAGACUCGGAAUGGUGCACGCAGACAGGGAGGAAAAACUGUUUUGCUGACAAAUGAGAAAUGACUCUUUUUAGAUUAUUUCAUUUAUUUAACAGCCUGAGGUGUUUGGAUCAGAAAUCAUUAGGUAUUUUAUUUUUCCUGUUUCCUGACAGAAGGGCCACAGAAGCACACUAAGAUAAGUUAAAAACUUCCAUUCAGUAACCACCUAGAAAAAGCCUACAGAACAGAGGCAAAAGCAUAUCAUUCCAUCCAGUAUCAAAUGCUUUCUCAUCAGAUCAUCUGAAAGCUCAUCAACCAGGCAAACAGAAGUCAUCUUUGUGUGCUCAAGGUGGCUUUACGAGCACAUUUGAGGCACUGAAAAGAAAUCAAAGAUGCCUUUUGCUGAAGCCUUGACUACUUUGCAGAUGGCUGCUCUGGCCAUCGAUCAAAGCUGUAAUCAGGUCACACGGGACAAAUGGUAGAACUCCGGGAGCUGAUCGGGCCAGACUCUUCUGGGUUAGAGGCAAAUGUGCUUGAUGCCAGGCAAGAGGCUCUGCCGAUCCCCAGGGAGUAGAUUGUUCAGCAAAAGAUACCAUGGGAACAUCCAACAAUUGCACAGUAAGUGCAAAGCUUUUCUUUGGAGAACAUAUAUUUUUAUUAGAAGUUUACAGAAUCUUUGGUGUAUGUUGUCUAUCAGUAAUAUUUAUUGCUCUGACAAGUUCUCCUAUUUUGGUUUAGGCACAAAAGGAAUUACUUUUUUACUUGCUGCCUGGUGUUUCUAAGUUUUGGACCCAAUCCUUGUUAACUGUUGUAUCACAGUUGAAACUACACAGAUCUCUGAAAGGGACAGAAAAACCAUCCUCAGUGCUGGUGUGUGUUGUCUUUCCUCAUGGUUGAGUUACAUCACAGGCAGCUGCUCCUGGAAAUCAGUAGCUAUUGUUUUGUAGUGGCAAGACCAGCAAUUUUCUCAUCAUUGGGUUAAGGUGGCAGUACUUCCUGAGUUUGGCCUGAUGACAUAUUAAUUUGUUACACUCUUUUCUGUCAUUGUGACAGCUGUAGGUUAUGUCGUGUUUUUUAUUGACUUUUGUGAGGUUUAUUUGCAUUGGGUUCAUAACAGUUAACAGACCUGACUUUGCAGUGGGACGUGAGAAUAAUACUUACCCUCCUUCUUCCUCUUCUUUAACUAAAAAAAACAUUAUUGAUAAACAAUGUUUUCCUUACAUGUAAUGUAUGGCUUACUUGGAUUGCAGAGUUUAGUGCUGAACAAAGGUUUAUUUGGGACCUAGUGAAAUGACCUAAAUAACGAAUUGCUGUUGUAAAUAAUGCACUUAUUCCAACCUCUGUCAAAAGAAAUUGCAUGUGGUAGUUGUCUGCCAUAUUCAAUUAUUUGUAUACAACAAUGACGAACUAAGCAGGAUCAACUCAUACCCUACACAGGAAAACAGUGUCUCAUGUUUCCUCUCUGACAGCAGUCAGAGACUUGGGUGAGAUUGAACAGUCAUUCAGGUUCCUCUGUAUGAAGAGAAAUAAAUCUACUUCUUGACAUACAAGCCAAAUGACGUGACUUCCAGUGUGCUCUGUAUUGGGUAGCUUUCCAUAAAUACUGUUCCAUCUAACACAAGUUCCUAAAGUAGGAAUUGGAGCUUCAUCUCUCAUAUGUUUCUUUUGUUUUUCCUGAACUCUGAAUUCCCUUUAUUUUGUACUCAUGCUGAAAUGCAAAAUAUUUCAUUUUCAGUCACUGAACAGGACAAUUUAAUUGUUUGUUUGGGUUUUUUUUCAACAAAUAGAACACAGAGUGAAGAUGAUCAUCUUUUGUUUUGGCAUUUCAUUUGGGUGGAAGAAGAUUUAACUUUCAAGUAGAUAACCCUGGGGAACAUUAUUUUGUUUUGAUGGAAUAACAGAAAAUAAAUCAAAUUAGCAGAAGCAUUGGCAAACUUCAGCAUCACAAUCGUUUCAUUCUAUUGAUCAGCACCUUUUUGAAUGAUGAGAGCUUUGUGAAAGAAAUCUUGUUCAGUUCCUCAUGUUACUUGGUACUGUUAGUUCAGACUGUUCAAAUUCCACCUGUACCUAGAAAAUAUAAGCUGCUUUCUGUUACUGGAAGUAGUCCCAUUUUCCUAUGUCUUUAAGUCUGUAUAUUGGCUUCAGAGUUAGUAUUGCUUACAAUGGUAGUAGUUAAUUUAAAAAUAAUUCAGUCAUGGUAUUGUCCAACUUUUGGCAAUGUUAGGGGAGUUAGUUGUCAUCUUUUGUCAGCCUUAACACUACUAUAAUUAAUGUGAGAAAAUGCAAUUGCAAUUUUGCUAAGGCAUUGCAUUGCCGUGCAAGUCAUAAAAGGAAUACUACACGAUGAAAUUAUUCUAGUUUUAGAACUAUUCCUGAUACAUAUGCUACUCAGAGUAUUCAACAUGUAUUUGAUACACUGUCCAAAAUAAUUUGGAUGGAAACCCAAAGGAGUUGUAUCUUUUUGUGUGAAAAAUUCCAACUCUUAGAUAAACUUUCUUAUGAUGUGCAUUUGUUCUGAUUAAAAAUUAAAUGCAAAUAAUACUGGAGGGUUUUUCCUGGUAAAGUCAGCACUUUUAUCCUUUUUAUGAAACAGUUAAUUGACAAUCAACAUACAUUAGAAGCGAGUAUGAGUUCAAUAGUAGAUACAGCUUUGUUCAAGGCAAAGACCUGUUUUGGGCUGUUACGUGAACUAGUUUCAUAAAAGCAGAGCAGGCACCUGCAUCUUACAGUGUGGGAACUCAUCUGUGCACAUCAGAGGCUCUUCAAGAAAACGGCACUUUCUUUCUCCUGACCACAGCCUGGAAUGUCCCUACAACAGCUCACUUCUGGAAGACUGAUCUGUACCAAAAUUUUAUACAGACUACCUGAGUGAAACUGAAAUGCUGGUAAGUUAAGAUUUUGCUUGUGAAUUUUGCUUUUUCUUUUAUUUUUAUAUUUGUGUCUGGACCUUAGUAACCUGUCACCUGAUACAUGUUCUGUCUUGCUUUUGGAAAAUUGUGGAAAGGGGUGAAGAACACAGUAGACGACUCAUUUUUUUUUUUGCCUGUAGUCCCUCUCUGUCUUCUUUUCUUUGCAGAGCCGAAAAUAGGCAAUAACUCCUAUUCUGUCAGAAUUACUCUCAUAGAGAUGGUAUCCAUGCCAAGCAACUUCUAGUUCUUCACAUCCAAUGUGAAUGUGCAGGGAAGCAGAUGAGCCUCAAGGUACUGCAGGUGCAAUGCAUUUAUACUGUUUCAAGAACAACUUUCUGCAAGUCCGGAAAGAUCCAUAGCCUUCUUAGGCAGUUGGGAUUAAAGAAGUGAGUGUUACGUUUUGCCAUGAGGGCAGAAAAACCUAUACCUCACUGUGUCCACAUCUGGAUGUUACCCUUUAAUUUGCUAUGUACAGCACAGCCUUCUCUUUUUCUCUUGCAAUGACUCCUCAUGUGCUACUGAUAA